Molecule: long non-coding RNA, 1257 nt
Filed under: Piliocolobus tephrosceles (Ugandan red Colobus)
Lineage: Eukaryota; Metazoa; Chordata; Mammalia; Primates; Cercopithecidae
Description: lncRNA (ENSPTEG00000006746.1)
Source: RNAcentral
GUGAAUCCCAGUCUCUACUAAAAAUACAAAAGUUAGCCAGGCAUGGUGGUGCACACCUGUAGUCCUAGCUACUUGGGAGGCUGAGGCAGGAGAAUCGCUAGAACCCAGGAGGCGGAGGUUGCAGUGAGCCAAGAUCAUGCCACUGCACUCCAGCCUGGGUGACAGAGUGAGACUGUCUCAAAAAAAUUUUUAAAAAGUAGCAGCUUAUUUAAUUCUCAUACAGUAGUAAGGAGCAUGCAAGUAGACCAUCAGAGAUGUAACGAAGCAGAUGCUGCUAUUAUUGCCCGUUUUGUUUUUGUUUUUUUAGAGACAGGGUCUCGCUCUGUUGCCCAGGCUGGAGUGCAGUGGUGUGAUCAUGGUUCACUGCAGCCUCAAACUCCUGAGACCAUCAGAGAUGUGAGGAAGAAGUUUCAGUCUGCAUCCUCAGCCACUUACUUGGUGUCUACAGAUGAGUGCCACAGCAGAAGACAGCCAGAAGAAAACUGAUUUCUACCUGCUCCGGAAGGUGUUCUGCCAUCUCCCCAUCUCAGUGGAGGCCACCACCAUGCCUUGUGCAGCCCCAAGCCUGGGCACUACCUUCACCUCCUUCUCCCUUCCUCCCCCAGCAAAUCCUGACACUUCUACCUUCAAGACAGCUGUGGAAUCUGCCCCCUUCUUCUUCUCCACCACCACUUGAAGUCACCACUAUCUCUGAACCACUUGGGCCCCUCUCUAGUCUCCCGGUCCCAUUCCUGCCCCCCAACCCCCUCCCUUUUUUUUCUUUUGAGAUGGAGUCUUGCUCUUGUCGCCCAGCCUGGAGUGAAAUGGUGUGGUCUCUGCUCACUGCAACCACCGCCUCCCGGGUUCAAGCAAUUCUCCUGCUUCAGCCUCCCGAGUAGCUGGGAUGACAGAUGUGCACUACCAUGAUGGGCUAAUUUUUGUAUUUUUAGUAGAGAUGGGGUUUCACCAUGUUGGCCAGGCUGGUCUUGAACUCCCAAGUGAUCUGCCCUCCUCCACCUCCCAAAGUGCUGGGAUUACAGGUGUGAGCCACCGUGCCUGGCCUCUUGCCCCCUUAAAUCUGUGUGCUACACAUAAUUUUCAAAUAUAAACCAGAGCCAGCACCUCCCGCCUGGCCCUCUGAGGGCUUCCCAUUGUUCUCGGAAUAAUCCCCAAGAGACUACCAGAGUACACGACCUGGUCCCAGCCUGUCUCUUCAGCUGAAACGCCUCUCCCCGCUCAUCAGACGCACUGCACUCUUUCUGUUCCUCAAAUGAGCUA